Molecule: non-coding RNA, 77 nt
Organism: Podarcis lilfordi (Lilford's wall lizard)
Lineage: Eukaryota; Metazoa; Chordata; Lepidosauria; Squamata; Lacertidae
Source: the annotation of a GenBank genome assembly
GGUGCUCUGCCAUAGCAUAGUGGAAGAGCACCCGCUCUGCAUGCAGAACGUCCCGGGUUCAACUCCCAGUGGCAUCU